This 269-nucleotide ribosomal RNA is filed under the name uncultured prokaryote. Its description in RNAcentral is "partial 16S ribosomal RNA". It matches the Rfam family "Bacterial small subunit ribosomal RNA", at positions 524 to 792 of the family's 1533-position model. The record is from RNAcentral.
UACGGAGGAUCCGAGCGUUAUCCGGAUUUAUUGGGUUUAAAGGGUGCGUAGGCGGGAGAUUAAGUCGGUGGUGAAAUUUUGCAGCUCAACUGUAAAAGUGCCAUUGAUACUGGUUUCCUUGAGUGUGGAUGAAGUAGGCGGAAUUUGUGGUGUAGCGGUGAAAUGCAUAGAUAUCACGAGGAACUCCGAUUGCGCAGGCAGCUUACUAAACCAUAACUGACGCCCAGGCACGAAGGCGUGGGGAUCAAACAGGAUUAGAUACCCGCGUA